This 649-nucleotide ribosomal RNA is filed under the name Xylodon flaviporus. RNAcentral's name for it is "eukaryotic LSU rRNA". The stretch from base 247 to 400 matches the Rfam family "5.8S ribosomal RNA". Lineage: Eukaryota; Fungi; Basidiomycota; Agaricomycetes; Hymenochaetales; Schizoporaceae. The record is from RNAcentral.
CCUAAGGGUACUGCGGAGGAUCAUUACUGAGUUUUGAAGUGGGCUUGAUGCUGGCAUCUUUUUGAUGCAUGUGCUCAGCCCCGCUCUCAAAUCCACUCAACACCUGUGCACUUUCAAAGUUGUAGUCCUCCGUAAUGGGAGUCGCAAGUCUUUUUUGACUUGCUGGGACUGCGCUUUGCCAUUUAUCACAAACGAUAUUCAUUGUUUUGUAGAAUGUCUAGCCUCAUUGUAGGUGAAACUUAAUACAACUUUCAACAACGGAUCUCUUGGCUCUCGCAUCGAUGAAGAACGCAGCGAAAUGCGAUAAGUAAUGUGAAUUGCAGAAUUCAGUGAAUCAUCGAAUCUUUGAACGCACCUUGCGCUCCUUGGUAUUCCGAGGAGCAUGCCUGUUUGAGUGUCGUGAAAUUAUCAACUCCUAUUCUUUAUUGAAUGGUGAGCUUGGAUUUGGAGAUUGCUGGUGAAAAUCGGCUUCUCUUGAAUGAAUUAGCUGGAAUUUGAUUCGCAGCAUAUAUGCGGUGUGAUAAUGUCGUCACUGUGUAGCUCGGAUUGUCUGGCUUCUAAUCGUCUUUCAUGGACAAUUUGAUCAUUUUGACCUCAAAUCAGGUAGGACUACCCGCUGAACUUAAGCAUAUCAAAAACGGGAAGGAAA